UGAAGAAAACAGCUGAUGAAAGGGGCUCAAGCUAGCUUCAUUUCUUGCAGGUCUAGUUCUAAGUCUAGGGGCAGAAGUCUUCGAUUUGGCUGGACACCCAGCCUCCUCUGUGACCUGUCAGGAUUUUUAACUUCACAAUAACUCCUAAGCGGACUGCUGUCCACUGGCCACAACUCACUGAAACUUUCUCCAUAUUCAGCAUUUAUUAAAGACUGGAGGUUCCAAGGGAUGGUGAAAUCCUCUGCAUGGUGUAUCAAGAGAGGAAACCAGCACGAACUCUGUUAAGCCAGACAACUUACAUGGCAGCCCCGAGGAAAUCCCGAAGAAAGACACAAGUUGCCGUCAUUUUUCAAGGUGUAGGUCAAAUAUCCAGAAAUGGAAGCCAUCGCCCCAACCCAUUGCCAUUUCCACGGCACACGGUACAGAACACUGCAGAGACGAGCUCAGUCUCCAGGUCUCAGGAGGCUCCAGCCUCUUGGACGCUCAGGCACUCAGGCCUUGCGGCUCCACCUCGCACCCUGUGCACUGCUUCAUGGAGCCUUCACCACACUCCUUUUUAACUGCAACUAGUGAGUUCUACCAGCAGAGCCCAUCCAAAGAGGAGCCUGUAUCUAUUCAUUGUUGAUUCCCAGUGCCUCAUCCGGGAGUGUCACAGCAGGCACUCAAAGAGUCUGCUAAAUGUAUUCCUUGGGUUAUAAGUAGAAAACUUGGGGUGUGUCCUCAGUAGCCUUGGCUCUGGUUUAAGCCCUCUGAGGCCCCUGCCUUCCCCUUGCGUGUCCCCUCCCCUCCCCCAACCCCCACCCUCAGGGUCUUGGGAGGUUCCGACACCUAACCUCAGGCGGAUUGUUCAUGUCUUCCUUCUACUCCACCCCUUGGCGACUUCCACUACAGAAUAUCUAGUCACCUCUGUUUCUCUCUUCCUAUCAGGGACUACACUUCACAAGAAGGGCUCCUGAGAGUCUCCAGCUCCUUUCUUCCAUGAGCUUGAGUCAGAAACUUGGAAUGGCUUGUGUUGCCUGUGAAAGCAUUUCUUCCUGAGAAGGUGCUGCCUACAUAAUGUAAAAUGAAAUACAAGUAUCAACAUAAUUCCAGUU
Piliocolobus tephrosceles (Ugandan red Colobus) is the source of this 1094-nucleotide long non-coding RNA. RefSeq lists it as uncharacterized. NCBI's taxonomy places the organism in Eukaryota, Metazoa, Chordata, Mammalia, Primates, Cercopithecidae. The record is from RefSeq and is a predicted model, not a curated record. The transcript has 3 exons.